This 447-nucleotide ribosomal RNA is filed under the name uncultured bacterium. RNAcentral describes it as "partial 16S ribosomal RNA". It matches the Rfam family "Bacterial small subunit ribosomal RNA", at positions 28 to 523 of the family's 1533-position model. The record is from RNAcentral.
GACGAACGCUGGCGGCAGGCUUAACACGUGCAAGUCGAACGCCCCGCAAGGGGAGUGGCAGACGGGUGAGUAACACGUGGGAAACGUACCCUUUGGUUCGGAAUAACUUGGGGAAACUCAAGCUAAUACCGGAUAAGCCCUUAUGGGAAAGGUUUACUGCCGAAGGAUCGGCCCGCGUCUGAUUAGCUAGUUGGUGAGGUAAUGGCUCACCAAGGCGACGAUCAGUAGCUGGUCUGAGAGGAUGAUCAGCCACACUGGGACUGAGACACGGCCCAGACUCCUACGGGAGGCAGCAGUGGGGAAUAUUGGACAAUGGGGGCAACCCUGAUCCAGCCAUGCCGCGUGAGUGAUGAAGGCCUUAGGGUUGUAAAGCUCUUUUACCCGGGACGAUAAUGACUGUACCGGGAGAAUAAGCCCCGGCUAACUUCGUGCCAGCCGCCGCAGUAA